RNAcentral lists this ribosomal RNA (312 nucleotides) under Klebsiella pneumoniae. Its description in RNAcentral is "bacterial LSU rRNA". It matches the Rfam family "Bacterial large subunit ribosomal RNA", at positions 1109 to 1420 of the family's 2925-position model. Lineage: Bacteria; Pseudomonadati; Pseudomonadota; Gammaproteobacteria; Enterobacterales; Enterobacteriaceae. The record is from RNAcentral.
GAAGCAGCCAUCAUUUAAAGAAAGCGUAAUAGCUCACUGGUCGAGUCGGCCUGCGCGGAAGAUGUAACGGGGCUAAACCAUGCACCGAAGCUGCGGCAGCGACACUAUGUGUUGUUGGGUAGGGGAGCGUUCUGUAAGCCUGCGAAGGUGUGCUGUGAGGCAUGCUGGAGGUAUCAGAAGUGCGAAUGCUGACAUAAGUAACGAUAAAGCGGGUGAAAAGCCCGCUCGCCGGAAGACCAAGGGUUCCUGUCCAACGUUAAUCGGGGCAGGGUGAGUCGACCCCUAAGGCGAGGCCGAAAGGCGUAGUCGAUG